RNAcentral lists this ribosomal RNA (627 nucleotides) under Duliticola sp. UPOL 000L01. RNAcentral's name for it is "eukaryotic LSU rRNA". It matches the Rfam family "Eukaryotic large subunit ribosomal RNA", at positions 670 to 1259 of the family's 3401-position model. The record is from RNAcentral. Lineage: Eukaryota; Metazoa; Arthropoda; Insecta; Coleoptera; Lycidae.
GGAGUCUAGCAUGUGCGCGAGUCAUUGGGACUAGCGAAACCUAAAGGCGAAAUGAAAGUGAAAGUCGGCCUCGCGCCGACCUAGGGAGGAUGGGUCGCGUUUCGGCGCGACCCCGCACUCCCGGGGCGUCUCAUUCUCAUUGCGAGAAGAGGCGCACCUAGAGCGUACACGCUGGGACCCGAAAGAUGGUGAACUAUGCCUGGUCAGGACGAAGUCAGGGGAAACCCUGAUGGAGGUCCGAAGCGAUUCUGACGUGCAAAUCGAUCGUCGGAACUGGGUAUAGGGGCGAAAGACUAAUCGAACCAUCUAGUAGCUGGUUCCCUCCGAAGUUUCCCUCAGGAUAGCUGGCGCUCGCUUUUGCGAGUCUCAUCUGGUAAAGCGAAUGAUUAGAGGCAUUGGGGUCGAAACGGCCUCAACCUAUUCUCAAACUUUAAAUGGGUGAGAUCUCCGGCUUGCUUGAAUUGUGAAGCCGCGAGAUCGGAUCAGAGUGCCAAGUGGGCCAUUUUUGGUAAGCAGAACUGGCGCUGUGGGAUGAACCAAACGCAGAGUUAAAGCUCCAAAAUCAACGCUUAUGGGAUACCAUGAAAGGCGUUGGUAACUUAAGACAGCAGGACGGUGGCCAUGGAA